Molecule: non-coding RNA, 67 nt
Organism: Spinacia oleracea (spinach)
Lineage: Eukaryota; Viridiplantae; Streptophyta; Magnoliopsida; Caryophyllales; Amaranthaceae
Source: Rfam
AGCAUACUAGCUCAAUUGGUAGAGCAUUGUGCAACAAAAAAUGUGGGUUUGAAUCCCACGUAGGUUC